RNAcentral lists this ribosomal RNA (384 nucleotides) under uncultured bacterium. Its description in RNAcentral is "bacterial SSU rRNA". It matches the Rfam family "Bacterial small subunit ribosomal RNA", at positions 29 to 416 of the family's 1533-position model. The record is from RNAcentral.
AUUGAACGCUGGCGGCAUGCCUUACACAUGCAAGUCGAACGGCAGCACGGGAGCAAUCCUGGUGGCGAGUGGCGAACGGGUGAGUAAUAUAUCGGAACGUGCCCAGUCGUGGGGGAUAACGUAGCGAAAGCUACGCUAAUACCGCAUACGAUCUACGGAUGAAAGCGGGGGAUCGCAAGACCUCGCGCGAUUGGAGCGGCCGAUAUCAGAUUAGCUAGUGGUGGGGUAAAGCCCACCAAGGCGACGAUCUGUAGCUGGUCUGAGAGGACGACCAGCCACACUGGGACUGAGACACGGCCCAGACUCCUACGGGAGGCAGCAGUGGGGAAUAUUGGACAAUGGGCGCAAGCCUGAUCCAGCCAUGCCGCGUGAGUGAUGAAGGCC